UCCAUAUGUGAAUCCUAUGCUGAGGAUC
Molecule: small RNA, 28 nt
Filed under: Bombyx mori (domestic silkworm)
Lineage: Eukaryota; Metazoa; Arthropoda; Insecta; Lepidoptera; Bombycidae
Description: ovarian small RNA-26931
Source: RNAcentral